This is a long non-coding RNA of Pseudophryne corroboree (corroboree frog), 3904 nucleotides long. RefSeq lists it as uncharacterized. Lineage: Eukaryota; Metazoa; Chordata; Amphibia; Anura; Myobatrachidae. The record is from RefSeq and is a predicted model, not a curated record. The transcript is spliced from 2 exons.
UAAUACGCUAUACCCACCAUACCCUCUGUGACCUGUAUAAUGGACUCAUCUCAUAUUUGAAAAUAAAAUGAUGAAGCAGAAACCAGACCUGAUUCAGCGAUGGGCGCAGUGUCGCUGUUGGUUGCAGUUGUGCGAUUAUUUGCUACUGUGCCUGUGCAAAAUAUUCUGAAGAGCACCCACGGCGCCUGCGUUCCCCUGAGUGUACACACAGUGCUGCUGCAUACGGGAGAGCUGGCAAUACAACAGGACACGGUCUGAGGAGAGCACAAUAACAGCCCGUCUUGUGGCGUGUAAUGGGAGUGUCAGGGCAUGUCAGUACACACGGGCUGCGUUCCCAGGCACACAGCCGCUGUAACAGAAGCCAUGCUCGGACAUGUGCACCUGCCGAUAGUGGAAUGUAUUGAACCACCGACUCAUGGAAAAGAAGAAGAGAGACCGACAACUUGCAAAUAAGAGGAACUGAGAGUCUCUGCUCACUCAGGACUGUCUACUGAAACUGAACCACUGCAGAGAGCUGUCCAGAGACCUUACUCAUAGCCCAGUGCAAUCAGGGACUACAGACGCCUGUCUACACUCACCUACAGACUGCAGACAGGGACCGAGAGACUACAGACGCCUGUCUACUCUCACCUACAGACUGCAGACAGUGACCGAGAGACUACAGAGGAGUGCGUGAGCGGGGUGUCACAGACAAGCAUCCUGUGGCAGCGACACAACCUGUCACAUCCCCUCAGCCAGGUCGUACAUUGUCACCGGUUAUACAGUAUGCGGAGGGUAUAGCUAUUUGUAUGGAGGACAUACAGUAUAUAUAUAUCUGUAUACAUGUGUGUUUAUAUAUAUAUAUAUAUAUAUAUAUAUAUACAGUACAUACAGCAUGCGUGCUGGCGUGUUUAUACACGCCUAGGUCACCGACUUACAAGGACUGAUCUGAUAUCCAGGUUCCGCUUGGACCCAGUUAUUUCAUUGUUUCAUUUAGUCUAUAAUAAUUCUGUUGCAGUUUACAAGGGCUCCGCGUUCUACCACCUGCGAUAUUGUCUGGCGGAUCCGCUUUUUGCGAUGUCCUUCUCGCAGUCAGUGGUUCAGAUUUAUUUACGUUUGCAAAAGAAAUCCCUAAACACAAUGUAUAGUAAGAGUAUAGAUGAAAUAUAUAUUUAUGAGUAAAACAGCACUUGGGAAAUGCUACAUGAGCUCCGCUGCAUUGGAAACAUGGAGAGUUGCUAUGUAGAUCCGCACUUUAACUCGUGCAAGAGCCCACGGCCGAAGUGUCCUGCCAGGUAUCCGGUCACUGCAUGUAUAGCGCAGGACUAACGCAGGCAUCCCUGAGAUAAGUUAUCGCCCGGGCAAUACCAAGAGUUAAGCUGAUCAUUAUAAGGACAGGCCCAGCCCGUCUGCCAGCCACCCUCAGGCUGCGUCAAGCCCUAAUUUUCAUAUUUAGCACAAACUAGAAGUGGGAUCUCCUCGUCAUCAGACGGCAUUUUAGAGGAUUAGUAAAUUGGCCCGCAGUGCUUUUAGUUACCCCACCUCUACUAAUGGGCUGUGCAAUGUGCCUACUACUACCACAGACCAGUGUCCAGUCUCCGCUACUUCUCCUGUUUGGCCAUCCGCAGUCUCCGGCCUAAGACGUUAGUGUUGUAUCUUCCCGGGGACCUAGGUCGUGGGCCUGCUGUGCAGGAGGCCGGACUGAUGCAGCAGAGCAGAGGUGGGGGAUCUGCACUUUGGGCAUACUAGGACUUGUAGUUCUACAGAAGCUGAAGCUCCACCGUUAUUCCCACAAUAGAAGGAAGGUGGACGCAGUGGACCCGUGUCUCACCCAAACAUCUGUGCACCAGUCGCUAUGUCAGGGUGUACAGCUGCUGACAGCGGGCAUCUCAGCCCUCGCACAUGCUGAUGUACGCCAGGGAAGGGCUUUAUAGCUGUGUCCGACUCAUUAUCAACCCCUGUGGAGGGUAAGUUCUGUGUUCCCGGGAAAUCACGACUUAUAGUUCCUCCAUCUCUGACCUUAUAAAUGAUACAUGUUCUGGACGGCACCUUCUGGGUACUAUCGUGGCUGCGAUUCCAAUAUAUGUCAUUCAUAGACAUAUAAUGUAUCUUAGACCGGCAUAAUGUGACAGACACGCGGCUGGCAUCGGACUCUCUGCACUGGAUGGCACACGAUAGGGCGCUAUAACAUGGUUUCCCCAGCAAUCAGACCUCACCAGUGAUGGGCACAAUACAUUCCUCUUUCACCAGAGACUGUUUAGCUGCACAGUCUAUUAGCAGUCAUCUGCAAAGCAUGACACCAGGGCUUCCCAGCCUUAGCCCUCACGCUAACAGGCCAGGUUUUAAGGAUAGCCGUACUUGAGCACAUGUAGCUUAAAUAAUACCUCAGUUAUUUUGAUUUAACUGUAGCUCAAGCCUGGAUAUCACUAAAACCUGGACUGUUAGUGUACCUUGAGGACCGAGGUUGGGAAUGCCUGUCCUACACGGAGAAUAUGGAGGGUUUUUACCUCACGGGUCUGGCCCAGGACCUCUGCACCACAGGCCUCUGCCCCCUACAGUCUGGCGUUGGAGUAACUAUUAUAUUCUGACAAAUUGAUUGGCUGAUUACUAGAUUUAAUUCAGCACACCCAAUGGCUGACGCCUACAGUGUACAGACGCUGGACCCGCUUUACAUAAGAGAUCACAUCUGCCAUAUUGGUACUGAGAGCUUGCACAGUGCCUUCAGCAUGUCAGACUGUGUCCAUCACCCAGCCUAUUUCUGACAUUCUCUAUAGUAUCAUCUAUUACGGAAAUCUCUAUCUUCAAAGCAUAUCUUGAGAGCUGGCGAUGGUGAACAUUGAUUUGCUAAGUGAAGUUGGAUGCGCGCUGCCCCUACUGUCUGCCCUCAGGAAAUUCCUCCCCUUUCCCUUUUAUGAAAUUGAACUUUUGGGGUUUUCUCCCACAGUACUGGCCGGCUUAGCCUCCUAUAGCUGAGGGGACAACAAGGCGUUUCAAUGAUGUAGCAUAAAGUGCCGCAUCAGAAGUCUAGCUCAGAGCUGGGGCAGACAUCAUAUGUAGUUACAGACUGGAAAUGACCUUUGUGCAGCUCAGAACCUCCCUAAAGAUCUGCACUCCCCCCCUCCCAAUUCUCUCAUUCCAAUAACUCCGCAAAUAGAAUACUUGGCACCUGUUCCCGCUACCCAACUCUGCCCACAUCCCGUACCAACGUCUACUCCUACUCCGCCAACCCAUUCGGUGUGAAGGUGGGUGACUUCACCAAAGAGGAGUUUUGAUGCCUAUUGUACCCAUCGUUACUGAUGCAGAGCAUUGCCACGUGGGGAUUGGUCCAGACGGUACAAUACCACGGUCACUGGGUACAAGUUGUAGCUGCCUUCUCCCUAACGUAGGCGGUGCUUUAUCCAAUGUGCCGGGGAGUGAGAGGGGAUAUUCUACAUGAUAGACUGCGGAGAUUCUUACAGUAAGACACAGACUGGUUCUACGCUAACCCGGGAGUUCCUUACUGCUCUAUCACCCGGCCUACUGGAUGCCACAAGUCAUUCAUGUAAACACUGGAGUGCCUUACUGCCUUGUCCGAGAUGGAACAGGAGGGUGGAGCACAGACGCAUUUAUCAGAGAUAUAGGGGUAUAUGUACUAAAGUGAGGGUUUUGUAGAAGUGGAGAUGUUGCCCAUAGCAGCCAAUCAGUUUCUAGCUAUUAUCUUCUAGAAGGUGCUAGAUAAAUAAGUAGAAUCUGUUUGGUUGCUAUGGGCAACAUCUAAAAACCCCACACUUUAGUAAAUAUACGCCAUAGAGUGAUUUUGUUUUGCUGCAAAUAAUGUAUUUUUCAAAGAGAAUGUCCCAGUGUUUUCUUCAACGGAGAAAUUGUUGGAAGUUAAACUGGAAGAACUGUAACGAAAUUGGUCUUAAUAAAGAACUAAUUCCCACCA